RNAcentral lists this ribosomal RNA (455 nucleotides) under Naganishia albida. RNAcentral's name for it is "partial large subunit ribosomal RNA". It matches the Rfam family "Eukaryotic large subunit ribosomal RNA", at positions 55 to 506 of the family's 3401-position model. The record is from RNAcentral. Lineage: Eukaryota; Fungi; Basidiomycota; Tremellomycetes; Filobasidiales; Filobasidiaceae.
GGAAAAGAAACUAACAAGGAUUCCCCUAGUAACGGCGAGUGAAGCGGGAAGAGCUCAAAUUUGAAAUCUGGUAGCCUUCGGUUGCCCGAGUUGUAAUCUAGAGAAGUGUUUUCCGUGCCGGCCCAUGUACAAGUCCCUUGGAACAGGGCGUCAUAGAGGGUGAGAAUCCCGUCCUUGACAUGGACCCCCGGUGCUUUGUGAUACACUUUCAACGAGUCGAGUUGUUUGGGAAUGCAGCUCAAAAUGGGUGGUGAAUUCCAUCUAAAGCUAAAUAUUGGCGAGAGACCGAUAGCGAACAAGUACCGUGAGGGAAAGAUGAAAAGCACUUUGGAAAGAGAGUUAAACAGUACGUGAAAUUGUUGAAAGGGAAACGAUUGAAGUCAGUCAUGCUCUUGGGACUUACCUCCCUUGAGUGGGGUCAACAUCAGUUUUGAUCGAUGGAUAAAGGCACUAGG